AUAUACAGCCAUGCCACCCUGAACAUGACCAAUCUUGUCUGACCUCAGAAGCUAAGCAGAGUCAGGCCUAAUGCUGAAACCUAGGUCUUACCAGGCCAUACUGUAAAUC
RNAcentral lists this ribosomal RNA (109 nucleotides) under Jaculus jaculus (lesser Egyptian jerboa). The record is from RNAcentral. Lineage: Eukaryota; Metazoa; Chordata; Mammalia; Rodentia; Dipodidae.